UGACGGCGCCUGCGUCUCUCCUGCGAUCAUCGAUCUAUUUCUUGUAACUACGUCACCGACGGCGGCCAUGCCUCUCCUGCUAGCCAUGCUGCAUCCAUGAAGAUGACGUCGCCCCAGUUUCUGCCCAGCAGGUCUCGGUGUCGAGCGCUCUCCAUCGGCCAUUCCACUCGUCAGAAUCGGCCGAAACUCAGCCGAGGAUGGAAGCCUAUUAUGACGUCCUCGUGUAACUAAAUAAAAGACGACGGCGGCGGCGGCGGCGGUGGUGGCCACAACGGCGACGACAAUGAGAUGAGGUGCUGCUGGUUGUACCAUUGAACUCUAUAACGUGGCGAAAGAUGAAGCGGCUCCCUUGUAUCUUCUUCCAAUCGACAUCGAUCACGGCAAGGUACAUAUGACCUUCGGCUAAUUCAUUUGCAUGCAUCCAUGAUGAGAUUACCUGCACUCCCUAUUACUUAUAUACUAAUUAUUAAUUUGCAUAUCAUGCAUGUAUGAUGUACAACUCAUUUUGAUCGAUUGCUCGUGAGAUGGGUUACGCCAGCCGGCGGCGCUUCUGCUCCACGCAUAUGGAUGUACUCACGUUUUCUCUGGCAGCGGCCAGACCUCCCUGAUUCAAUGGACUCCGACGACAUGAUCUACAUGAUGACUAUCUAAAUUGACGCGACAUGAUUUACCCAUCAUAUGUAAUAAGCACGCACAAAGCGUGAUAUGCUCACACAACUUUAGUCUUGUUAUUUGCGUGGACAAAUAUCAUUGUAAAGAAACCAUUUAUUCCCUGA
Triticum aestivum (bread wheat) is the source of this 776-nucleotide long non-coding RNA. RefSeq lists it as uncharacterized. NCBI's taxonomy places the organism in Eukaryota, Viridiplantae, Streptophyta, Magnoliopsida, Poales, Poaceae. The record is from RefSeq and is a predicted model, not a curated record. The transcript has 2 exons.